ACCAAUCCUCCCGCACUGAAGCGGAGCAAAUAGGAGAGCGGCGACUAGGCGGCGGAGCGGAGCUGAGAGCGGCGGCGGGACGGAGCAGGGGGCGGAACAAAGCCCCCGGGAUCCCUCGGCUCCAGUCUGGAGACACAGCGCCCCCGUGCCCCGGGACCCCCGGGCAGGGAGGGAUGCAGGUGUGUGGGUGCGAGUGCGUGCGCAGCGAGUCCCUCCCCCGCGCCCCCGAAACCCAGUGUGCAGUCUCCCCCACCGCCCCCCCCCAAUCCUUCCAUCCCUAAGUGGCUCUCACCGGAGCGAGGAUCGAAGGUGACCACGAACACGGCCACCACCUGGUCCUCCUCUACGUCGCCUAGCUCUAGGCGCCCCGGCUGCAGCAGCACUUCGGGGGGAGCUGGCUCGUCGGGUUCCCGCCUUCGGGGCGCCUCCGCGGCCACUCGGCCCUCCCCACUGCCGCCCCGGACCCAUCCUCCAGCUUGCAGCGCGGGGUCCUGCGGCACAGAGACCGCGGGGCCCUCGGCCCAGCGCAGCAGCGGCGCCGCGUCUCCCUGCUCCACCAUGGCGAGGCGAGGCGGAGCCGGGGCGCGAGGGGCGGGGCAGGCUGCGGGCACUCCCCUCCGGGCCUGCCCGCCCUGCCGCUUUCUGCGGUGCGGAGGCUCUCUGGGUGCCCGCUGGGCUUGGCCACACCUGCCCCUGCUCGGACACCAGCGCACUUGCUUGGUCCCGGAGCUCUGGAAGGUGGCCCGCACGGGUUCAGCGCCCCGUGGCCUGGUCCGGGCUUCAGCUCUGCAUCUCUGUAUGUGGGUGCUCUUGAUCCAUAGUGUAGGGUGCAGGACGCGCAUCCCUUAGUCUGUCACCUGCGCGUGGGUUGAAGAGCCUUCCCAACUAGGAUUCCACUGUGAAUUUUUGAACGUCACCAUUAUGGAGCGGAGCACAUAUAUUAUAUAAUCCCGAGAGCUUGGUGAAAACUGCCUCCAAGUCAGGAAGUGAAGCAGAGGACAUCCCAAGUGUUUCAAAUACACACACAAAUCAAGAUCAAAAGGACUGUAAGGUUGCCAUUGGGCAUUUAACUUUAUUUAUAUAACAGGCUGGUCGAGAUAGUGAUCAUUAAUUUAUUUCCUUGCAUAUAUGCAGUUUGGAGAUAUUAAGCUGGAGGGCUGGGGUGGGGGUGGGGGGCAUUCUACAUUAAAAUAAGCAGGAAAAAGUGAGUAGGAAAGCAGCCCUUAAGCCUGUCUGUGGCUUUGGUAAGUAAGGAUUGCCAAUGAAUUCCCUCUGAAUAUUUACAAAUAAAAAUUUGAAUUUCUCAGUUCUUGGAAGGGGGUAAAUCUGGUGACUAACUUAGAGGUAUGCAUAAGAAAUAUCCAUUAAAAUUAUGAAAAAAAUAAGAUAGCAAGAGACAAUUAUUUUUAGAUAGAAUUCACCUCAUGUUUCUGACAAGGACUUGGUAAAAUUUUUGUGUUACCUGUUAACUCCAGGGACUUUGUGAAGCCCAGGUCUCCCUGCUUUGAUCCUGUUCCCAAGAGGAUCAUCAAUGACUGCCUACCCACAGCUGCUGCUAGUUCCAAAUAUGUGACUCACGCCUUAACAGUAAAACGUUUUACC
Molecule: long non-coding RNA, 1602 nt
Filed under: Mus musculus (house mouse)
Lineage: Eukaryota; Metazoa; Chordata; Mammalia; Rodentia; Muridae
Description: long non-coding RNA chr6:40435565-40437167
Source: RNAcentral